GUAGGUGGCAAGCGUUGUCCGGAAUUAUUGGGCGUAAAGCGCGCGCAGGCGGUUCUUUAAGUCUGAUGUGAAAGCCCACGGCUCAACCGUGGAGGGUCAUUGGGAACUGGAGAACUUGAGUACAGAAGAGGAAAGCGGAAUUCCACGUGUAGCGGUGAAAUGCGUAGAGAUGUGGAGGAACACCAGUGGCGAAGGCGGCUUUCUGGUCUGUAACUGACGCUGAGGCGCGAAAGCGUGGGGAGCAAACAGGGAUUAGAUACCCUGGUAGUCCACGCCGUAAACGAUGAGUGCUAAGUGUUAGGGGGUUUCCGCCCCCUUAGUGCUGCAGCUAACGCAUUAAGCACUCCGCCUGGGGAGUACGGCCGCAAGGCUG
Molecule: ribosomal RNA, 373 nt
Filed under: uncultured organism
Description: partial 16S ribosomal RNA
Rfam family: Bacterial small subunit ribosomal RNA
Source: RNAcentral